ACUCCUACGGGAGGCAGCAGUGGGAAUGAUUGCGACAAUGGGGGAAACCCUGAUGCAGCCAUGCCGCGUGUGUGAAGAAGGCCUUCGGGUUGUAAAGCACUUUCAGUAGGGAGGAAGGUAGUGUAGUUAACACCUGCAUUAUUUGACGUUACCUACAGAAGAAGCACCGGCUAACUCCGUGCCAGCAGCCGCGGUAAUACGGAGGGUGCGAGCGUUAAUCGGAAUUACUGGGCGUAAAGCGCAUGCAGGCGGCCUGUUAAGUCAGAUGUGAAAGCCCGGGGCUUAACCUCGGAAUUGCAUUUGAAACUGGCAGGCUAGAGUCUUGUAGAGGGGGGUGAGAAUUUCAGGUGUAGCGGUGAAAUGCGUAGAGAUCUGAAGGAAUACCAGUGGCGAAGGCGGCCCCCUGAGCAAAGCUAGACGCUCAGAUGCGAAAGCGUGGGGAGCAAACAGGAUUAGAUGAUCCCUGGUAGGCCUC
This 475-nucleotide ribosomal RNA is filed under the name uncultured bacterium. RNAcentral's name for it is "bacterial SSU rRNA". It matches the Rfam family "Bacterial small subunit ribosomal RNA", at positions 335 to 798 of the family's 1533-position model. The record is from RNAcentral.